This 332-nucleotide ribosomal RNA is filed under the name uncultured eukaryote. RNAcentral describes it as "partial 18S ribosomal RNA". It matches the Rfam family "Eukaryotic small subunit ribosomal RNA", at positions 1470 to 1796 of the family's 1831-position model. The record is from RNAcentral.
CCCUUAGAUGUUCGGGGUCGCACGCGCGCUACACUGAAUGGAUCAACGUGCCUUUCCCGAGGCUGAAAAGUCGAGGUAAUCCGUUGAACCCCAUUCGUGACGGGGAUAGGAGCUUGCAAUUAUUCUCCUUGAACGAGGAAUUCCCAGUAAGCGCGAGUCAUCAGCUCGCGUUGAUUACGUCCCUGCCCUUUGUACACACCGCCCGUCGCUACUACCGAUCGGAUUGUCCUGUGAAUUUCUAGGAGAGUUGAGGUCCUGGCGCUUCGGUGUCGGCGACCUCAUGCUUGAAUUGAAUUGAACUGGACUCUCUAGAGGAAGUAAAAGUCGUAACA